Molecule: non-coding RNA, 30 nt
Filed under: Rattus norvegicus (Norway rat)
Lineage: Eukaryota; Metazoa; Chordata; Mammalia; Rodentia; Muridae
Source: RNAcentral
UAACUGUUGGAUUUCAGAGUGUGGUCUCAC